ACUGAGUGGCGGACGGGUGAGUAACGCGUGGGUAACCUGCCUCAUACAGGGGGAUAACAGUUAGAAAUGACUGCUAAUACCGCAUAAGCGCACAGCUUCGCAUGGAGCAGUGUGAAAAACUCCGGUGGUAUGAGAUGGACCCGCGUCAGAUUAGCUAGUUGGCAGGGUAACGGCCUACCAAGGCGACGAUCUGUAGCCGACCUGAGAGGGUGACCGGCCACAUUGGGACUGAGACACGGCCCAAACUCCUACGGGAGGCAGCAGUGGGGAAUAUUGCACAAUGGGGGAAACCCUGAUGCAGCGACGCCGCGUGAGCGAAGAAGUAUUUCGGUAUGUAAAGCUCUAUCAGCAGGGAAGAAACUGACGGUACCUGACUAAGAAGCACCGGCUAAAUACGUGCCAGCAGCCGCGGUAAAACGUAGGGUGCAAGCGUUGUCCGGAAUUACUGGGUGUAAAGGGAGCGCAGGCGGACCGGCAAGUUGGAAGUGAAAACUAUGGGCUCAACCCAUAAAUUGCUUUCAAAACUGCUGGCCUUGAGUAGUGCAGAGGUAGGUGGAAUUCCCGGUGUAGCAGUGGAAUGCGUAGAUAUCGGGAGGAACACCAGUGGCGAAGGCGACCUACUGGGCACCAACUGACGCUGAGGCUCGAAAGCAUGGGUAGCAAACAGGAUUAGAUACCCUGGUAGUCCAUGCCGUAAACGAUGAUUACUAGGUGUUGGAGGAUUGACCCCUUCAGUGCCGCAGUUAACACAAUAAGUAAUCCACCUGGGGAGUACGACCGCAAGGUUGAAACUCAAAGGAAUUGACGGGGGCCCGCACAAGCAGUGGAGUAUGUGGUUUAAUUCGAAGCAACGCGAAGAACCUUACCAGGUCUUGACAUCCGAUGCAUAGUGCAGAGAUGCAUGAAGUCCUUCGGGACAUCGAGACAGGUGGUGCAUGGUUGUCGUCAGCUCGUGUCGUGAGAUGUUGGGUUAAGUCCCGCAACGAGCGCAACCCUUAUUGCCAGUUACUACGCAAGAGGACUCUGGCGAGACUGCCGUUGACAAAACGGAGGAAGGUGGGGAUGACGUCAAAUCAUCAUGCCCUUUAUGACCUGGGCUACACACGUACUACAAUGGCGUUUAACAAAGAGAAGCAAGACCGCGAGGUGGAGCAAAACUCAAAAACAACGUCUCAGUUCAGAUUGCAGGCUGCAACUCGCCUGCAUGAAGUCGGAAUUGCUAGUAAUCGCGAAUCAGCAUGUCGCGGUGAAUACGUUCCCGGGCCUUGCACACACCGCCCGUCA
Molecule: ribosomal RNA, 1284 nt
Filed under: uncultured bacterium
Lineage: Bacteria
Description: bacterial SSU rRNA
Rfam family: Bacterial small subunit ribosomal RNA
Source: RNAcentral